AUGAUUAGGUGUGGCCAACAGUGAACAACAAGAAGUACGAGACACUGUCAUACCUACCUCCUCUAACCAGAGAGCAACUCAUCAAGGAAGUUGAUUACCUUCUCCGCAACAAGCUCAUUCCUUGCAUCGAGUUCGAGUUGGAGGUAUUAUUUCUCAAUCUAUAUAUAUAUAUAUAUAUAUAUAUAUAUAUAUAUAUAUAUAUAUAUAUAUAUAUAUAUGUUUUCUUAAUUUUAAAAUUAAAAAUGAAUAAAUAAAAAUGAAAAAUAUAAAAAAAAAUGUAUGUAUAUGCAGCACGGAUUUGUGUUCCGUCAGUACAACAGCUCCCCAGGAUACUACGACGGUCGAUACUGGACAAUGUGGAAGUUGCCUAUGUUCGGGUGCACAGACGCAGUACAGGUAGUGAACGAGCUUGACGAGGCAAUCAAAGCAUACCCAGAGGGCUUCAUUAGAAUCAUUGGAUUCAACAAUCUCAAGCAAGUCCAGGAUAUCAGUUUCAUUGCCUACAAGCCUGCUGGCUACUAAUAAUUUCUAUUGUGUUUUCCUUUAAUUAGGAUUCCUUUUUUUUUUUGUAUUAUUACUUUCAUUUCCUUUUUCCUGCUUUUCCUAAUCUCUCUAUCUCUUUCGGAUCGAAAAGAUAAAUGAGUGUACGAGGAUAAGUAUUUACUACUCAAUAAACUAUAAUGCAUUUUCUUCCUUUUUAAUAAUUACUAUACUGUCAUCUCUUGAUCGCCUAAGUUAAGCGGGUAAGCCUCGGGAAAAUAUCUUAUUUAAUUUAUUAUUUAUCAGUGAAUAAAUUAUUUGGUUAUAGAUUAUCUUAAUGUAGGAGAAUUCAUGUAAUGAUUAAUGAAUAACUGGAGCUCAAAUGUAAUAGUUGAGAAUAUGGACGCGAGUGCAAUAGUUAGUUGGUAAUAGAAAUUAAUUAAUUAUUUACCGUCAAAUUAAAUAUAAUUAUAUUAUUUUUAGAAUUUGAGUUUAAUUUACUUAUUAGAAGUGCGAUGCAUAUUUUCUCAUUUGGUAUUUAUCGUAGCCCAAUCAAUUAUGUAACUUAUUGAGAAAAUAAAAUUCAACUAAUGGAAUAUAGGAGAAAGAGACUUAUUUCAGAGAAGGAAAAAAUGGCCGUAGUGUCUUGUGGAAGAAAUAACUUAUUUUCUUAGUUAUUUCCUUGUAAAACUCUUUGAUCAGCCCUAUAUAUACAAAACUUGGUUGGAGAGAGAAAGUUGAGAUCCUAACUCGCCUAGCAAAAAUCUUUUACACAUGUUUUUUAAGAAGAUAAUUUUUCUCCUUUUAUUUUCGCUCCCUAUUUCUCAAUUAUAGAUUUAUAAUUCUUCAAGGACAAGUCCACCCUUGUAGAAGAACUGUUAAUCCGAGAUAGACAAUUGAAGAUUGAAGAUUUUGAUAGAAGAUGAAUAUUCUUGAAUGCUCUACAACAACCUUGAUGUUUUGACAAUUGCUACUUUAUCAACCGUUCAAUCGUCACAAAAUUUGAACUUGAGGUUCCUAACAUGUAGCAAUUCGAUCCGAACCAAACGGAUAGUCAAUCCAAUUUUGGGAUAUCAAGUUAUAGGCGUCUAAAGUGUGUUGUAUUGUUCUAGACGGGAGCAAUUUGUGAGAAGCUUUGUUCGUGUUUCCUGCAAUUACUGAAUUCAAGAUGGUAUUUUUGGGUCGUUUCCGAAUAUAUUUUUAAGUUCUAGAUUAGUUUUUAUUUCGCAUUUAUUAAUCUAUAAUUUAUUACGCAAAACAUGCUAGGGAAAAAUUUAUACCCGAAAAACAAAGGUUCGUCAUUCGAAUUAAUUAUCAAUGAUGCGCUCUUGGAAUUUAUAUAUAUAUAUAUAUAUAUAUAUAUAUAUAUAUGAGUCAGCGUUGCAUUGAUCGAUUAGUGCUUCUACCGAUCGGUGUGUGGUGUAAAAUAAGGGUUUCACAUGUAGUCGCACUAAUCGAUUGUCGAUCUCCUGCUUGGUAUAUUUUGACCACUUCCUGCUUUCUUCAAGUAUCGCUCCGUUGCCCAUAUCCUUCCUCAUUUAGCCCUCAACGCCGUUUUAGCCAUUGUAUUGCCACACAAAUAUUUAAUAUAUGCAAAAUGCAUCAAUCUAACUCCUAAAUACAAUAAUAGCUAACAUGCAGCUAAACGACAUAUAAAUGAUUGUACUAAUGCUCGAUUCUUACCUUAAAUAGAUGUGAAUAAGUAUACAUUUUACACAUUUAACCCUUUAGUAUUUGGUGGUCAUCAUGGCUUCAGUUUUCAGGAGACGGUUGUGGAUACAGUCUUAAAAUUCGGACGGGGUGUGUCCGGGGUGGGUUUACUUAUUUUUGUUUUUGGUCUUAUAGUUAGGAAAUUAGAGGAUUUUGUGUAUAUUGAAUUAUACAAUUUUUGGUGUUGGAACUUAAUAUAGUAGCUACCCAGAUGUUAAUACGAUCAAUUCCACAUUUUAGAGAUGUUGAUCCAUUUCGAGAAAUAUAUUUCACUAAAUAACUAAUCCCUCCACUAAACGCAUUGGGCUCACUUACUCAAUAUAGAAAUAUAUCUCUUUGUUAUGAGAUCAAAGUGGAUUAGACUAGUUACAUGUGUACCUUUUUAUAUUUAGGGAUUAAGAGAGUAAGUGUUUUGGUGAUAAUAAGAAAUAAUAUAGUUUUAUAUUAUCAGUAGUGAAAUAAUUAUUUCACUUUGUCUGGUCCAAUACAUGCCGAAUGUGCUAGCACAAUAAGUCAAAAUAAUAACUAUAAAAAAUAUUCUAUAUCUAUCGUAAUCAAGACAGAUCACUUAAAUAUAUUAUUAAAUACAUUGUGCUACAAUCUUUCUCGAUGGUUAGUUCAAUUCCAUUUAGAUUGUGAAUAAUUUAAUUUAUAUUAUAAAACGAACUUUCAAAAUGAUCUUAUGUGUUAUAUCAAAAUCAGCACACCAAUUCGAAUAUGAUUAGAAUAUUAGACUCGUGUAAUUGUUUAAAUAUUAGUUAAAUGCAUUGAAUGCCAUAAUGCAUAUUCUCAUAAAAUGAUAUUAUACUAUUUCAUUAAAUUAAUACUAAAAUUAUGUAGAUAAAUGUGAGAGACUUUUAGUCUACUGUCCCAACAAAUAUACACUCGAGUUAGGACUUUAUUUCGGCGGAGACACUUUUGACACACAACAACCAACCUUGAGAGCGGUUAUAAACCCUAAAAAUGAAAAGAGCGAGGAACACUCAUCUAGAGCUUAGUGUGAAACGAAUAGGAACAGGCAACACAGAAUUUAAUCGUUGGCGGAAUGAAGACAACAUGACAAGGAGAAUGUUCGCCUUCUGUUAUUCAUAGAGUUUAUAUUUCUCUUCUUUUAAUUUAUUGAUUAUUGCAUCCAACAAAUAUUGUUUAUUGAUUUUGAUGGAACUAUACGUAGGUAGAUUUCAUUAUAGGAUUUAAUCGAAUCCCGUAGUGGAUAUUUUGUACUAUGUUUUAUUUUUAUGCAUGUGAUUUAAUUUUCAGUUUAAUUCUCGUGCUUGGAAUGUUUGAAUGCGUGGACUUGAUAACAUCACUGUCGCCAUUAGACACCAGGCCAUUAUUGAGAAUAUAUCACGCUCUUAAUUAUGUAAAUCAUCCUUCUGAAUUAGUUUUUUCUUUUAUAAACAAUACCUUAGAUCACGGUUCAUACUGUAUAUUUUAUGUUGAUCGACCGUGAUUGUAAUUACUUGAUUGAUUCUCAUUGAAUCAAUCCUCCUAUAUAUAUAUAUAUAUAUACUCACAUAUACAUCAAUGAAAAGUGAAAACUCCUAACUUGGGAUAUCCUUUUAUGGUAUCACAACCAUUAGCCUCACGACAUCUCUGAUCCAUAAUUAUCAUUUGUUUUUCUCCAUUUCUUCACUUAUAAUGUCGGACGAUCCCUCGAUCUCUCCCAACCAAACCACCGCCACCACGACUGUGAUGCGAUCUCUUGAGUAUCAUAAGAUUUCUUUACUAAACGUAAGAAAACUCUUGUUUAUUAUUUCUCUGCAUUAUCAAAACCCUAGCACAAUACGGCUAUUUAAAGAGAAUCAAAACCCUAGAAUCCUAAUCUAACUAGGAAAGAUAAUUACCUAUACUAAUAAAAUACUUAAUAAUUCCCUAAUCACUACUACUCACGCCAUAUAUUAAUCUAAAUAUACUAAUCUAAUCUAAUUAUCAAUAAACUACUAAUUAAAAUAAUACUUAAAUAAUAUAUUAAAUAAUAAAAUACUAACUAACGAAUAAAUAUACGAUAUAUUAAAUAUAUAUCGUAUCAAACCACCCCUCUUGAAAUGAACCUUGUCCUCAAGGUUCGAGUCAAUUUGGUCCCUCUUUUUUGCGUUUCCACCUAUGUUUGACUUCAGCGACUUUCUUUCCGAGAAAGAUGUAUUCCUUUGUUUGACCAAUUUUCACAAGCACGUGACUAUCUUUCUUGAUUUUAUGAGUGAAGUCAUCUCUCUCGGUGGAAUCAUGAACUUGGUCUCCAAAGUGAUCCACUUUAGCCAAACAAAAACUAGAUAACUUGGAGUGGUAUUUUUCUUCACAAUAAACAACUAAUUCCACCGAAUUCUCAUUAUGCAAAAUUGGAUCUUCCUUAAAAUUAUGAAAUUCUUUCAAAAUUUCAUGCAAUUUUUUGUUCUCCUCCUUCGUUAAUUUCUUGUCUUCGUCCCACUUUAUCUCAGUUGACUCCGAUUCUUCUUCUUUCGGCUCUUCGUCCCACUUUAUCUCAGUGGAUUCCGAUAAUUCUUCUUUCGGCUCGUCGUCCCACUUUAUCUCAGUUGAAUCCGAUUCUUCUUCUUUCGGCGAACUCACAAACAAUUGGGGUUCUUCGAAAAAUUCAUCGUCGUCCUCUUCCUCUUCCUCCGGCGAUAGGCUCGGCAGCGGCAGCGGCGGUAGUGGUGUUGUUGGUCGGCGGUGGCGGUCUCUUCGGCUCUUAUGUUGGCGCCGUCCUUGACUUUGUUCGAGCAGUUUUUGGAGACCAAUCCGUAUCUCCUCCACGGAUUUUUCCAAUCGCUCUAAACGUUUUCUCUCGGACGACAUAAUUUCGCAAAGUGUUGAUGUAAUCUCAACUUUGCUCCAGCGUAGCUUUGAUAUAAUCUCUGCCUUGCUAACGAAGCGUUGGUGUUAAUCGCAACUUCGCUCUGAUACCAAUUGAUGCGAUCUCUUGAGUAUCAUAAGAUUUCUUUACUAAACGUAAGAAAACUCUUGUUUAUUAUUUCUCUGCAUUAUCAAAACCCUAGCACAAUACGGCUAUUUAAAGAGAAUCAAAACCCUAGAAUCCUAAUCUAACUAGGAAAGAUAAUUACCUAUACUAAUAAAAUACUUAAUAAUUCCCUAAUCACUACUACUCACGCCAUAUAUUAAUCUAAAUAUACUAAUCUAAUCUAAUUAUCAAUAAACUACUAAUUAAAAUAAUACUUAAAUAAUAUAUUAAAUAAUAAAAUACUAACUAACGAAUAAAUAUACGAUAUAUUAAAUAUAUAUGGUUAAUUAAAAUUUGUUUUGAAUAAAGAAAAGAAAAAUAAAAUUAAUUUAGCUAGAACCAAAAUCCCAUUUUCAUUCUACUACUUUUGCCCUCGAUUUUGUCUCAAAUUUCUUAGUAGCUCGAUUAAAAUUUGUAGAAAAGGUCUGCUCGAGAGUCAUUCAACAUCUACGGAGGACAUUGAAAUUUAGUGGCCGAAGACAAUAGAGAAUUGAAAAUUGUACAGUAAGCCCUCGUAUGAUAACUAGCAUUAUCAAAAAAGUUGUACAGUAAGCCUAACUCGUAUGAUAAUGAAGAACACCUGAAACAUUAUUGAACUAAUGUAUCUUUACCAAAAUCAAAUUUUUUUGACAGAAAGUAAAAUAAACUCAUGUGAGAUAUUGACAACUAUUUUGAAGAAAAUAAGAAACAACAGUUGUAACAAUAAAUUUAAAAUUAUGCAAUGAAUAAAAAACGAACUUCUUCAUGCAACCAUGAUGCAAAUAGAGUAUUCAUUUGAAUCAAAAUCCGUCAAAAUGUCAACUAAAUCUUGUACUGACGUAAAUAUUUUUAUUUUGUAGUAUUGCUCUUAAAGCCAUUACGAAGGGAUAUGAAUGUGACUAAUGCAGCAUCCCGGCGAUCGAUGAUAAAUGAAUAUUGUCAUUUUGACACGAUAAGUUCCUGACAACACAUACUGUUCAAAUCAAUCAAUAAAUAAAUAAAAUAAUGUUGAAAAAUCAAAAGUAAGCAUAUUUCUCUAGUACUUUGGUGAUUUGAAUGCAACUUCUCAUCUUGCCACAUUCUUAAACAAAGUUUUGCCAUCUUUGUGUGUGCGUUUUUUCCCCACACGUGGGGGAGAUGGAGAUGCCAGCGGUUUAUCUAGUUGGAUUGUGCAGAGUUAGUUUUUGCUGAGGAAAACAAGCCAAGAGGGGGAAAAUGAGGAAAAAAAAAAAAAAAAAAAAAAAGGAAAAAUAGUCAUAAAAAAAGCAUAGAAAGCUAAAAAUAAUCAUAAUUCGUAUAAAUGAAUGUGCUAAAAACACUAAUUAAGGAAUGCAAAACAACCCAAGGGAAAAUGGACCCUCAAAGUCAUCCACCACAUUGAAAUUGAAAUAAAUCGACCAGGAAAAAACUUAUAUAUCGUACAUUUCUUAAAUAAAACAGUAAACUAGCUCGAAAAUGUCGACAUGAGGGGGAUGAGAGAACGAAGAAUAAAAGGAGAAUAUAUUGGCGAUGGAUGGAGUAGUUUCUUCCAUCUAAAAUGAUCGUGAUGUUAUCGUGUGAACUAAGAAGUUGUGUAUUAGUUAAUAUACCAUAGUAAAAACUAAAAAGCCGCCCGGGAAAAGCAAAGAGCUACGAAAUUACUGAGAAACACCUAGGGCUACGAAAAUUGUUCAGAAAAGAAAAAUUAGAAAUAACCGACUUGAGUAGUGGGGUCAGAUAUGAGAAUAUUCUUGUAGUGGGAGGUAAUAUUAAAAAUAAAACUGAAAAUAUGAAAUGAAAAUAUUGCCCCUAGGGCUACAUCUAGGGUUAUAGGUCAAAAUAUCCUCCUUUUAUAAACAAACAUUGUCUUAUUAUCAUUUUAAUUUCUUUUAAGGGUAAAUUACAACCACCCCUGGAUGUGUGGUCAAAUUACGAAAAUCCCCUCCCCUUUGGGUAAUUACAACCUCCUCAAUUAUAAAUCUUCUUACACGUCCACCCUUGCGGUGUCAAAUUUAGUGGAAUCUUUUAGAUUAUACAAAAUAUUCUCAAUUUUGUACCCAUUUUAUUCCAUUCGAACUCCACAUUUUGAAGCAAGAUGAUCAUAAGAUGUGCUUUUUGGCUUGUAAAUAUUAGAUUAUGGUGCAUCACAGAUUGCAUUUUUGUACAAAUGAGUACAAACUAGAGAACAUUCCACGAAAUCUUGAAGAUUAUGUUGAACUUGACACCAUAAGGGUGGACGUGUAAGAACAUUUAUAGUUGAGGGGUAGUUGUAAUAAUCCAAACAUGAGAGGUUUUUCGUAAUUUAAUCAUUCCACGAAAUCUAGAAGACUAUGUUGAAUUUGACACCAAACAUGAGGGAUUUUUCAUUUUUGGACGUGUAAGAACAUUUAUAGUUGAGGGGUAGUUGUAAUAAUCCAAACAUGAGGGAUUUUUCAUAAUUUGACCAUAGUGAGAAGUUGUAAUUUACCCUUGUUUAUAAUUACUAUGGAGGGAUAAUUGUGUGCAAACUGCAAUGUUUUGACCAAAUACUUGUAUUUAAAUGAAUUAAAUUAUUGAGCAAGAUACUUGAUUAUAAUGAGUAAAAAUGCAUAAAAAAGUAUGAACGUAUAGAGACUAUAUAGAUCCCCUAAGUUGAAGGAAAAUGGACAGGCUAUUGACCUCUCAUAGAACCCCAACGGCAUACGGAAGAUCAGCCAUCCAUCCAUCAAAAUGUUAAAAAACACACACACACACACACACAUACUUCAACACUGGAUAUGGAUUCCAGAUUCGCUGGAAAAAGGAAAAAAAAGGAAAAUGUCAAAACAAAGCUUUUAUUUUUUAAUAUCCCCAUGUUGAAUACAAGAACGUGCGUAGGUUUACGCCUUUUCAAUUUCUUGCAACGUCACGUUGUGUUGUGUUGUGUUGACACUUUCCAAAUAAUUUAAUUCCUAAAAAUUAAAUUGAUUGACAAAGUCUUUGCGUUUCCUUCUCUGUUAAUCUACUGUUAACUUGUUUAUCUGGGUUGUCCUUCAUUUUUCGAAAUUGCAUGAAAUUGAAACUUCGCCUCUUUUUUUUGUUGAGUGUGAUUGUUGUGCAUGGGCGAUUCCGUUUUCCCCAAUUUAUUACAUUUGCUUUCAUUUUAUUUUGAGGUUGUCACAAUUUCUUGCAGGCUACACGGAAUUUUGUUAUGUUGAUUAAGCACUAAUUCUUUCUUUAACUGCAGAUUCCUUUUGCUGAACAACUGAACAAGGAUUGAUUUGUUUCUAUACACAUUUCAAUUCACUUAAUGAUUGAAUAUCAGGUUUGUGAAUAUUUCAUAUAAUUAUUUUUAUUUUAUUUUUUUGUGAUUUAUUUAUUUGUUGAUCUGGUUUUCUAGACAGGGGGAAAAAAAAAAGAAAAACAAAUUGAUAUUGUAAAACCGGGGGCAAGAAUUUCUAUUACGGAAUGGUGAAAUUUGUAUUUGGUCUGUGAAUUAGUUAUAUUUUAUUUAAUUUAUCCUACAAAUGGAACAGAACAUAAUUAGAGAAAAUUUCCCUAAUGUAGCUAAUUCAAAUGGCUUAACAUGGUUUUUUAAGGAUUUGAAAUAUGCUACAAGAGUAUCUGUUUUUUAUUCGGAUCGUACCACUUUCCGUCACAAUUAAUUAAUCUUUUUAGUUCAAAUCAGAGUAUCUGUUAUUCCUAAUAUGUCUCCGAUACGCAAUUCAGCAUAGAGAAUCGGGGAAGAUUGGGCCAUUUUUUAUUUCUUCCAUUGUUUUAAAAAUUGAGAUUGUUAUCGUACGGACAGGUUUUCUCCUUUUCCAAUCGAGCCCUGCCGUUGUAAUGUUAUAGUAACAUGUCAUCGAGUUGAAUAAAUGCUACCGUUGUCAUAUUUAUUUAUUAUAUAUUUGGAUGUUUAAACUGAUAUUAAUAAUAAUAAGAUGAACGCUGCAGCAUUUCAGUGUGGACUAUCAGAAUAUAGUGACGUCAUGGAUCCACAAGUAAAAGAUUAUUAUAGAUUUCGCAGCUCAAGUGUUUCGUCUACCAACAGUGAUGUGUUUGAACCCACUUCAAGUAACAAUGGUACAAAUAUUAUUUUACUCUUGCGAUCAUUUACCUAAUCUGAAUAUAUUCACUUCGAGUUUUUUGUUUUGUGUGUACAGCUAAGCAGCGAGCAUCUGCAGUAGAAUGGUUAAAUGGUAUUCUGCCUGAUUUAAGUUUGCCAAUAAAUGCUUCAGACGAAGAAUUACGAGCAUUCUUGGUUGAUGGAUCUGUUUUAUGUCGAUUACUAAACAAACUAAAACCUGCUUCCGUGCCUGAGGUACCUCCUAGUUUAUUAUUAUUAUUUUUAAUUAUUAUUAUUAUUAAUUUUAAUUAUUAUUUAUAAAUGUUAGUGUGGUGGUGGUUCUAUUCGUUCUUCACAAACGCGGCAAGAAAACGUACAGAGGUUUUUGUUAGCAAUGGAUGAAAUGGGGUUACCGAGGUUUCAGGCGGCAGAGUUGGAAAAGGUGAUUGAUUACACUUUAAUGGAAUGGAGAUGAUAAAUAUUUUUUUUUUCUCGUGGUGAAAUUAAUUAAUUGAUUGAUUUAGUCGCAAUUUUGUUGUAGGGAUCGAUGAAAAUAGUGUUGGACUGCCUAUUAACAUUACAGACGCAAUUUACACUGAAUGCCGAGAGACAUAAUAGUAAUGGAACUGAUUUGAGUUCAAGACGGUUUCUCUCUUCCCCACCUUUUGGAGAAGACAGACGAAAGUUUGCUCCAGAGUCUAAAUUUCAGCGUGCUUUACGUAGUCCUAUUAAGACAGGUCUUUUUUUUUUUUCUCUUGUCUCCAAAUCAGUGUGUAAGAAGUUAUAUAUAUAUAUAACUAAAUUGAUUGUUUAAAUUGGAAUGUUGUAGAGCCAUCAGCUGCGCUUAUAAAUCACGUUGGUCAUAAGUUUCAUGAAGUCUUUCAGUUUAAACAAGUAUCUUAUACGGAUGCAAAUAUUUCAGAAAUGAUGAAAUCCAACAGCUUUGAUGUAAGUGAUUUCCUAAAUUAUUUAAUUUUUUUUUCCCGCCAAGUGUUCCUAAAAUUGACUUUAAAAGUUUUGUAUGUAUAAAUAUGUAUAUGUGAUGCAGAAUUCUCCAACGCAGUCGCUAUUAAGUGUGAUCAAUGGUAUUUUAGAUGAAAGCAUUGAGCAGAAGAAUGGAGAAAUACCUCAUGUAUGUAUUAAGAGAUUAAAAAGAUUUUUUUUUUAUUAGAAUCCAAAAACUUUUAAAGGUCUAACAAACAGAUUAUUGGCUUUGUAAUUGUUCAGCGUGUAGCUUGCCUAUUGAGAAAAGUUGUGCAGGAGAUUGAACGUCGAAUAUGUACUCAAGCAGAGCAUCUUCGAACGGUAAUGUAUUUUAUCAUGUGGGGUCCGGUUGUUUAAUGAUUAUUAUAUUCAUUAGCCCGAAACAUGCGCUCAUUCUUCUUCUUCUUUUUUUUUUUUAAUUUAUCCUGCAGCAAAAUAAUAUUUUUAAAGCUCGGGAGGAGAAGUACCAAUCUAGAAUUAGAGUUCUUGAAGCCCUUGCAACAGGGACUAGUGACGAGACACAGGUAUAAUAGUAAGGCUUCGUAUUUCGCCAUAAUGUAUGUAUUCAAAUUUAUGUAAGUACAUGUUUAUAUAAAUUGCAUAACCAAUUCGCCAAAAUUGAUUUUUUUUGUUUUUUUGGCAGAUUGUUAUGAACCAGCUCCAACAGAUCAAGGUAAUUCAAUUUCUUCACUGUAUGACUGUUAUCUUCAAGUUCAUAUGAUUUAGCUGCUUAUAGACGACGAGCAUCAAAUUAAGGAAGGAAAAAAUUGUUGAAUGUAAUCAAGAUUCGUAAUUCGUGUGCAAAAACAUUACCUGUUAUUACAAUAAGAAUUGAAUACAAGCAUGUAAUUCUGGUGAUAGUGAAUUUUAUUUACAUGUAGUUUUGGGUUUUGCAUGCUUAAAUAUUGUAUUCAUCUGCUCCAAAAAAUGCAGAAUGAGAAAAACAAAAUAGAAGAGAAAAAGAAAGCGGAGGAACAAGAAAUGGCAAGACUGAUGAAAGAGAAAGACGACCUUAAUCAAGAGAUAUCAAAUCUUAAGCAACAGCUCCAAGAUAUAGCUAAGACAUCCCAAGCUGAAUCUCAAGCUCAAGCUCAAGCUCAAGCUCAAGCUCAACAACUACAGCUCAACGAUACAUCUAAAGAGUCUCAAAGUUUACUAACCGAGGAGUCAACAAAUAGAGUUAAGGAACUUGAGGAUAGGUUAAAACUAACUCUAAGCUUACAAACAGAGUCCACAAAUAAAGUGAAGGAGCUCGAAGAUAGGUUAAAAGAGUCUGUCAUCUUGCAAACCGAGUCGGCAAAUAAAGUUAAGGAGCUUGAAGACAGGUUGAAAGAGGCUGAAAUCUUGCAAGCAGAGUCAACAAAUAAAGUGAAGGAGCUUAAAGAGAGGUUAAAAGAGAGGGCAAGCUUAGAAACAGAGUCGACAAAUCAAGUGAGGGAGCUUGAAGAUAAGUUAAACGAGACUGCAAGUUUGCUAACACAGUCAAGAAAUAGAGUUAUGGAGGUUGAGGCAUCCCUUGAAUCCAAAUCUGAAUGGUGGAAGAAGAAAGAAAAUAUCUACCAUAUAUUCACCGAAUUUCAGCUCGGUGCACUACGUGUAAUGCUUCUCUCUCUCUCUACCAUCUUACCUUUAUGUAUCACUUUUUUCUUGGAUUAAGUAAUUUCAUUCUUAUUUUCAUGUAUUUCAUUUCAGGAACUAAAAUUUUCAUCUCAGUCGAUACACCAAGAAAUUUUGAAAACGAAGAAAAGCUAUUCAGAAGAAUUCACUACUUUAGGUAAUUCUAUUUUCUUUUUUUUAAUCGGAUGAAAUAUAUAUUUAUACAUUGCGACUCACACUAAUCGUCGUAACAGGGUCAAGGAUCAAGACUCUAGACGAUGCAGCAAAGAACUAUUAUUCAGUCCUUGCUGAAAAUCGAAAGCUGCACAAUGAACUACAAGAGCUAAAAGGUGACACAUUAUUGUUGACAUAGUUGAACAUAAAAAAGAACACACACGCACACACACUAAAUUGGUGUAUUUCCUCACGUGUUGAUUUGAAUAGGAAAUAUUAGGGUGUAUUGCCGGAUAAGGCCAUUUCUCCCGGGGCAGAAAGGGAAAAGUUCGAUUAUUGAGUACGUUGGAGACAAUGGUGAGCUAAUAGUUUCGAAUCCAUCAAAACAAGGCAAAGAAGGACGCCGCUCCUUCAAAUUCGAUAAAGUGUACAGCCCAGCAGCAACACAAGGUUUAUUUUAUUUUAUAUCUUCAUUAAUAAAAAGACGGUACUAAUUAGUUUAUCUCUAUGUAUGUUAUUUCUUAUUGACAUAAAUUUCGUAUUAUCUGCAGCUGAAGUAUUUUCAGACACACAACCGUUAGUACAAUCUGUUUUGGAUGGAUACAACGUAUGUAUAUUUGCGUAUGGUCAGACUGGUUCAGGGAAGACCUACACCAUGGUAUGAAACUAACUAUAAAUAGGUUUAUAAUUUCAACUUAUAAUUAUUUAUUUUUUGUUAAGUGAAUGAAUUCUUUGUCUCUCCAGACUGGACCUGAUGGAGCAACGGAAGAAGAAUGGGGGGUUAAUUAUCGGGCUUUAAACAAUCUUUUCCGUAUUUCACAGAGUAGGGAGAGCAACUUUACAUAUGAAAUUUCCGUCCAGAUAGUGGAAAUAUAUAACGAACAAGUCCGUGAUUUGCUCGUAAAAAACGACGGUUCAGCAAAAAGAUAUCCUCUAUUUAAAAUUAUUAUGUUUCCAAUCUCAUAUUUUUUGACACUAAAUUUUGAUCCAUUAUUGGUUAUUACAUACAUGUUGCAUCAAAAAUACUUGUUAUCCUUGACUUGCACACACUCGGGAUUUUGUCAACGUCGCAACCCAAUGGUUUGGCAGUGCCAGAUGCUAGCAUUCAUGUGGUAAAAUCAACCUCAGCUGUUUUGGAACUUAUGGAUAUUGGACUGAAUAAUAGAGCCAAAAGUUCGACUGCCAUGAAUGAAAGAAGUAGUAGAUCACACAGGUAUUUCUAUAAUUAUUGUUUUUCAAGAUUCUUGUAUUAUUAUGCAAUCGAUGCAUAUAUAUAUAUAUAUAUAUAUAUAUAUAUAUAUAUAUAUAUAUAUAUAUAUAUAUAUAUAUAUAUAUAUAUAUAUAUAUAUAUAUAUAUAUAUAUAUAUAUAUAUAUAUAUAUAUAUAUAUAUAUAUAUAUAUAUAUAUAUAUAUAUAUAUAUAUAUAUAUAUAUAUAUAUAUAUAUAUAAUUAGUGGGGUAUGAAUAAAUACAGUAUUGUGUCAAUUCAUGCGCGGGGGCUGGAUCUAAAGAGUGGUUCUUCUCUACGAGGCAGUCUUCAUUUAGUAGAUCUUGCUGGAAGUGAAAGAAUUGACCGCUCGGAAGUAACUGGAGACAGACUUAAAGAGGCACAGCAUAUAAACAAAUCAUUAUCCGCACUUGGUGAUGUCAUCUUUGCUUUGGCACAAAAGAAUUCUCACGUUCCUUAUCGCAACAGCAAGCUCACUCAAGUCCUACAGGGCUCCUUAGGUAUGUAUAAUAGCUUUUUUUUUUUUUAAUAAUUCUUCUGAUAUAAGUUAGUUAAUUGAAUAUCGAAUAUUGGUAUUGCAAUGAGUAAUUGAAAAAAAGUGGUUAAUGAUCAGGUGGUCAGGCAAAGACACUUAUGUUUGUGCAGCUGAAUCCAGAUGCAACUUCGUUUAGUGAAACCUUAAGUACAUUGAAGUUUGCUGAAAGGGUAUCUGGUGUUGAGCUCGGCGCAGCUAAAAGCUCCAAAGAUGGCAAAGAUGUUCGUGAGUUGAUGGAACAGGUAACACAACAUUAUUACGAUUAUUAUUUUUCUGCUAUCUAACUUGCGAAUAAUAAUUUAACCAAAUUUAUGUUUCAUUUGACAUGUCCCUGAACUUUGUUAAGUGUAUCCAUUUAUUUGCUCACAAGUCUCUAUAUUAUCAUAAUUAUUUAUUAUACAAUAGACAAUAUAUAUGAUAUGAUACAUUUUUUGGGUAAUAAAUAGGUUUCAUCUCUAAGAGACACCAUAGCAAAGAAAGAUGAGGAGAUAGAGACACUGCAGCUUCUUAAAGAUCCCAAAAAUGGAACCAAUGCUGAGAAACGGGCUACCACCUCAUUGAGGUACGUAUCAUCUUCUACGGGUACUUGUUAACAAUUUCACAAAAAUAUAUAAUCACGAUUCUCAACAUCAGAAAAUAUCCAUAUUAAUUAUUUUUUUUUUGCGGUUGAAGCUGAGAUCUUAUGACUUAGGUGGUUGUGCAGAUAGAUAGUGCUGAGAAAUUUAGUGAUUUAUCUGAUAGUGUACUUUUAUCUUUGCAAAACAGAAACUGAUGGAGAGGCUCUUCCCUGAUUAAGAAAGACAAAUUGGGAACGUACACAAGUAAGCACAUUCGCCUUAUUUGCCCGCGCCUCAAAAAAUGCCUACUUGAUACAAACCACUUUUCUUUUCUUAUCUUACUAAAUCUUCACCGAGUACCAACUACUAAUAGUGUAUUUCUCUUGGUUUUCCACAGGCGUAGAGUUCCACGACCCUCAACUGGUAUGACCACACACAUAUUUAUAUAUAUAUAAUAACGAUACACAAUUGGUAAAUUAUGACGUUGAUGAGCAAUUCGGUUGUAUUCAGCUUUAGCUACUCGUGAUCUUGUUUCAGGUUUGAGAAAAUAUGCCAACCAAGGUGGCAAUAGUUGAGCAUAUAUAGUUUCAGUUAUUUCUUGAUUUUAUUCAUUCUUUAAUUUGCACUGUGAUUUUGAUCCAUCCAUUAUAUUUCCACUUUUCCCUCUUUUUUUCAUGUUCAUAAUCAUUGUAUAUAGGUUUCGUUUAACCCCCAUAGUAAGAACCACAACUACUUGUAACCUUUGGUUGUGUUGUGGUGUGGUGUUCCUUUGCAUUUACUGCAAUCCUGGAUGGAAGCUUGUAACUUCAUAACAAGGCCAAACUUGAGAAUGUUAUUUUCGAAACAAAUUACUGCACAACGCAAUUCUUUUAAUUACAUAUCAAUCCUCAAUCGUCCACUGGUCAGCAAAAAUUCUUAUUGAGGAGAUUCGCUAGUUUUUGUUCUUAUGGUCCGAAUGGAGCUUCAAAUUUUGUCCAAGAAAUACCAACUUCGCUGCUCAUCACCUUGCCAGUUGGGGCAAUUUUUUUCCAAAUGUAAAUUUAAUUCGUUCUUCUUGCUUUUGUGACGGGAAUUCCCGAUUUUAGAUUUUUUUUUUAUUACGUUUUCUUAAUACAAUUUUUACUUACAAAAAAAAAAGACAAGAAAUUAGAAAAAAAUUCAAAUAUGAUUUUGAACCAAUCAGCAUAAGGUGGUGGCUGGUCUAUUCUUGUGUUCUUUUUCAAUUAAUAAUUUGUGGCUCAUUUGUAAGAUAUAUUUCCAUUGGCUGGUCAUUUAAUGGAUACUAAAGUUUUGAAUAAACACUUGGUGGGGUAUGCUAAAAUUACAGGACCAAAUUAAUCCAAUAUGUAAACUGUUUAAGAAAUAUGGACCACUAUAAGUCAUAAAUUAAUUCUCAAAAGGAAAAAUAUUUUAAAAUAUUCGAAGAGCACCCACUAUUGACUAACUAUUUACCAACUAUUUACCAACUAUUUACUACUUUCUUACUAUUAUCUAACAUCUUAUUGCAUAUUCUAUAGCUUAAAAACAUGGGUAAAACCUUGUAAUGGAUCAUGUAUGUUUUCAUAUCAGUUAAUCUUUAACUUAUCAAUUUAUAACAAUAUUUACUUGAUCCAAAAACCAUGUUUGUGGCAGAUUGGUUGUAAUGAUCCACGUAGUCAUUUAGUUUAUUGUAAAAAAAAAAAGAUUAAUCUUGGUGAGUUAAGUAAUUAUUCAAACAUGGCAUGAAUGUUUUCCUUCCUACAACUCAAUGAUGUUAACUUCUUCUAAAGUUUGACAAUUUCUAUAUACAACAAUGGGGCUCUUCGACGUAACCCAUCAAAUAUUUUAUUAAUAGGAAAAUGCACAAAUAAUAAAUCACUCUUUGAGAUGAACUCAUACUCUUUUCAAGAAGAGAGGAGUGAGAGGUCGAGGUGGGAGAUGGAUCGGAAACAGAUAGGGACCAUGAAGUGGUUAUGGAGGGUGAUGGCGAAGCGGGUGGCACGCUUCAGGGCGUACCACUUGCUGCAGAGGAGGGCGGCGGGGUUGUGGCCGCGGACGUCCAGAACAUUGGCGAUUUAGUUUUUGUCGAGAAAUUUAGAUUAAACUGGACGCUGAUUGACUAUGUUGUUUGCAUAGUCUAUUAAUAAAUCAACUAUGUUUUUUUUAUAGUUAAUUUAUUAGAUCUAAUAUACGUUUUAAUAUUUUAAUCAACUACAAUCGAUUAAUAAAUCAAUAGUAGAUUAGCGUUCAGUUUAAUCCAAAUUUUACAAAAGAACAUAAGGUAAAUUAGAAAAUUGCGAAAAAGAAAUAUGAGAGAGUUUUUCCAAAUUAUUUUUUUAAUAGGGUUCUACCUCAUAUGAUUUUUUGAAAUGAAGGGGUUAUGCUAAUUUUUCCUUUUAAAGUAAUCAUAUCUAAGAUAUAUAUAUAUUAGAGAUAAAAUCAUACUUGCAAAAUUAAUGGCAUUGGAUGGGAUUAAUUAUUAAGAGAUGUGCUAUUUUCACCUUCAAAAUAUUUUAUCACACCACUAAAUUAGAUAUAUUUCCCAUUUUACCUCUUUCUUCUUCUCUCACACCAAUAUUUUUUACGAAAGUAUAAACCAUCUACCACUAAAAUAAUUAAAAUAUUUAUAUAAAAAAACCCCACAAUUUUCACUGAAAAUCUCACCCUCUCCACCUUAAAUGAAUAAUACUUUCGUAAAAGAAAAACAUUUUUGAAGGUCAAAAAGAGCAGGAAUUCACAUUUUUUGAUAAAUAAAUUAAGAUUGUUUGUAUGAAAGAUCUUGAACUUCCUCCAGAAUUGGCAUGUUUGGCUUAAUAUAAUUUUGUUUCCUAAUUUUUUUUUACAUAAUCUUGUAAUAAAUAUUUCUAUUGCAAAAAAAAAAAAAAAAAAAAAAUAGAAAUAACUAAUAACACAUGAAGAUUAAGUGAAUAUAAAGAAGGGUGGUAGAUUAUAAAUUUGAGAGGAAUUUAUGAUAUUUUAUAAUCUUUGGUGGUGAAUUGAGAUACUUUGGAUGUGAAAAAUAAGACCACUCAUUAUUUAUUUUAUGGAUUAUUUUAGAGACUCCCCUCAUAUGAAAAAUAUAUAUAACUAACCACCAAACUAAUUACAUCCUUGAUUCCUUGUGCAUACCCCUCCAUUUUGAAAUUAAUAUGACAGACCCCCAUUGCUCACCCUGAAGUACUAAUGUGCCCUUUUAAAAUCUGUUUUAAAGCCUAGCCACUCACAGUCGUCUAUCUCUUCCUCUCUCAAAUCUCAGAUUCAAAUCCCGCCUCUCUCCAACUGGCGAAGUUGCUUCUCGGAGUCAUAACUCUCUCUCACAUGGUCGGAAUUCGAUGGUUUAACUACCGUUGGAUUCCUCUCGUCGAGCACUUUCUUUUGGGGGUGAUUUCAUUCAGUUUGGAGCGCUGGAUCUGUUUCUGCAAUUUUUUUUUCAGUCGACGCAUAUUUCGACGACGGUAGGUCUUGCCGGAGGUGUAUUUUGUAUUCCGCUAGUCGGAAUUUGACGGGCUACCCACCGUUGGAUUCCUUUCACCGAGAUCUAUAUUUUGAUGGUAAUCUCAUUCAUUUUUAUAUUGUCAGAUUUAUUUCUAUAAUCUUUUUCAUUUGUGAGCGCGGAACCUUGGGUGGUUAGCGGCGGCUAGGGUUUUGGUAGGAGGCGAUUGGGGUGAGAAGUCAUUGGCGGUUUGGUUUAGAAUUCGUAGCUAUGGUCUCUCUCUCUCUCUCUCUCUCUCUCUCUCUCUCUCUCUCUCUCUCUCUCUCUCUCUCUCUCUCUCUCUCUCUCUCUCUCUCUCUCUGUGUGUUUAUUUUAGAGUGUUUUGAUGGUUCUUCAAUUUUUGUUAUUUGCACUAAAAUAAUUUUUUUUUUUUUGAUUUUACAAUUGCAUCUUAAUGAAAACCAUUCAUCCUCUACUUGAAGGUGUCAAAAUUUUUGUUGAAGUUAUAUCUGCUUCAAGUUACAAUAUUCAACAGAUUGUGUACAUUACCAUACAAUAAUAGUUACAUAUAGUAAAAUGUAGUUACAUAUGCAUAUAUUUGUCUAUUUUCGAUUUGUAUUUUAUUGGUUCUAAGGUGAUUUGUAAUAUAAAUAUUGAUAUUUGUAAUGGGGUUUAUGAAUUUCUUUUGUAUAAGCCAGUAUUCGUGUGUAUACAUAAUGAUCGAAUAAAAAUAUCGGGUUAAAAAAAAGAACAUAACUACGAAUUACUAUUGUUUAGUACAAUUACAUGUAGUUAUUUUCAGUACAAUAAACAUAUAUUUCAUAAAAAAAAUUAAUUCAGUUUUUUUUUAAAAAAAGUUAAAUAAAAAAAAUUAAAAAAAAAAUAAUAAAAAUAUAUAUAAAUUAAACAAACAGGUUUAUAUAAAAAAAUGAAAAAUAAUAAUAAUUAAAUCAGUGAAAAUGCUAAAUGUAUGACCAGAAAUGCUGAAUGCAGUUUUGGCAAAAAAUUGCAUAUAAUACUUUCUCCAUUGAAUAUGUCAAAGGAUAAUUUUAACUUGAAUUUAUCCCUAAUUUAUUUGGUAGCUAAGAAUGUGUAAAAUAACCCCUUAAUUUUAUUGAAUACUAUUUACAUACAAGGCUUAAUAGUGACAACUAAACGAGUUCUAAAUUUGAUGAGUACAUUUGAAACUAAUUUAUUUUAUAUAAUUGUUCCAAUCUGAUGUAAUUAUUUAUUCCUCCAAAAUUUAAUUAAUUAAAAAAAAAAUUCCACUUUUUUCCUUGUACUUUGGCUCGAUGUCACUUUAUCCUCUUCUAUUUUUGAUUGCAUCGAUUUGUCCCCCUGUACUUAAAAAUUAUUUCAAUGUGACCCUCGUUGUUAGUUGUCAGACAUUUGACCUUAGCACAGUUUGGUCUAAGCUCUGAAAUUAUAAAAAGACCACCCCUCCCAAUUUAAAUAAUUAUUAAAAAACGAAAAAGAAAAAAAAAACAAAAAAAGUAAUAAUAAAAAAUUCAAGACAACGAGAAAGCAUAGUCCAUGACGAUAUCCACAAUUUAUUUUUAAUUUACUUUUUUUAAUUUUUUAAACUAGGAGGAGUGAUUUUUUUGUAAUUUUUAGACUUAGAUCAAACGGUGUUAAUGUUAAAUGUCUAAAAACUAACGGCGAUAGCCACAUUGAAACAAUAUUUCAAGUACAUGGAGGGCAAAAAUCGAUUCAAUUAAAAGUAGAAGGAGUAAAGUGAUAUCGAGCCAAAGUACAAGGAUGAAAAGUUAAAUUUACCAAAAAAAAAGUAAUAAAAGAUAUAUAUUCAGAAUAUUAAGAGUGUAAUAAAAUAAAAUAAACAAGUAGAAGUAUCUCGAAGACCUCUGAUCCAAUUGUGGCUCACAAAUUUCAAAUUUGAGGUUGUCGUUUAGUAAUGUAAGUUGACAGAAAAAAUAUCUAAAAUAAAAUAGAAAUAAAAAUAGUCAUCAUCUUCCUAUGAAGAAAGGAAGGGCUGUGUUGGAUUUUGCAGUAUUAACCUCAAAAACAAUUGUCGCCUCAAAUGAGAUAAGGUUACUGCCACGCGUCACUCCCUCAUAGAUUCAAGCGAUAAGGAAGCAAUCCAUCUAUUAUGUGGUCAUAAAAUCGAAAUGUAGAGGCAGGUCAGAUCCAACGGCCCACAUGAAUUAAAAAUAAACAAGUUUCAAUAAGGAGCGUUGGAUGAAAUGUUGAAAGAAGAAACAGGGUAGGGGGUGGGUUUGGCAUUAUAAAGGGAGAGGUGCAACAAGGCAUUUCUCCAUCGACUGUUGUUUGUGUCUUCUAAAGCAAAGAAAAGCAAAUUAAAGAGAGGAGAAAUGGCAGCCUCAAUGGUAUCAACCACAGCCACCGCCGCCGUGAGCCGCGCCACCGCAGCUCAAGCGAGCAUGGUUGCUCCUUUCACCGGAUUGAAGUCCACCUCCGCAUUCCCCGCUACCCGCAAGACUGCUGACAUCACCACCAUUGCCACCAACGGUGGAAGAGUCUCCUGCAUGAAGGUACCACAUUUUAUUCAUUUCAUUAAUUUGAAUUCAAUUAUUAAUAAUGUAUAGUUAACUAAUUAAUUAAAUGGAUAUAUAAAUGUUUGAAAUUGAAUGAUUAGGUGUGGCCAACAGUGAACAACAAGAAGUACGAGACACUGUCAUACCUACCUCCUCUAACCAGAGAGCAACUCAUCAAGGAAGUUGAUUACCUUCUCCGCAACAAGCUCAUUCCUUGCAUUGAGUUCGAGUUGGAGGUAUUAUUUCUCGAUCUAUAUAUAUAUUUUCUUUAUUUUAAAAUUAAAAAUGAAUAAAUAAAAAUGAAAAAUAUAAAAAGUUGUAAAUAUAUGUGCAGCACGGAUUUGUGUACCGUCAGCACAACAGCUCCCCAGGAUACUAUGACGGACGAUACUGGACAAUGUGGAAGUUGCCUAUGUUCGGAUGCACAGACGCAGUACAGGUAGUGAACGAGCUUGACGAGGCAAUCAAAGCAUACCCAGAGGGCUUCAUUAGAAUCAUUGGAUUCAACAAUCUGAAGCAAGUCCAGGACAUCAGUUUCAUUGCCUACAAGCCUGCCGGCUACUAAUCAUUUCUAUUGUGUUUUCCAUUUUACGAUUCUUUUUUGUAUUAUUACUUUCAUUUCCUUCUCCUUUUAGAAUCCUUUUAGGGUUCUUUUUUGUAUUACUUUCAAUUCCUAAUCUCUCUAUGUCUUUGGGAUCGAAAAGAUAUUGGAGUGUAUGAAGAUUAAGUAUUUUAUAUGUUCCACCUUUUUUUAAUCCUCCAUAAGCUAUAUUGCAUUUUUUUUCUCUUUUAAUAAUUAUAUUUUUAAGCCGCGGCUAUUUGAAAUACUAAUUACACUAAGUGGAAGAUCAACUAUAAGGAACGGAAUACUAUAAAAAAAAAAAAGACUAUUUUUCAACAUGGAAGGCCAUGGAAUGACCGUCUGAGCAACAUUUGCCACCCAAGCGUCGCCACUGUUGGAAUCGAGCAAUCCUUCACAGUUACCAAGAAAAACCUUCACAAUAAAGGUUUUUGAAAUCUCCAAAAAAAAUGAAAAAUAGAAAAGGGUUUUUGUAACAAUAGAUAUUUUUUGAUAGAUAUUUUUUUUUGUCAAAAUGUCAUUAAGAAGUCUCAAUCAUUAAGAAAGUAGUUGUGUCACUUAUGUUCAAAAUCAACGAUUUAAGGAGACAAUGGUUUUUUUCCUUUAAAACUAACGAUCCUAGAAAAUCGACAUGCAAAUGUCGAUUUUUUGGGUGGUUGAUCGACAUAUGCAGGUUGAUUUUGAGGGUAAAUUUUCGACAUGUCAUGUUUUUGCAAAAAAACUAGACAUCUUAGUGUCGAAUUCUUGCUAUUAUAUUUGACACUAGGAUGUUGAUAUUUGACUAUUUUCCUUUUUUUUUUUCCUUUGACAAUAUAAUGGCCACGUAAAUGUCAAUUUUCAUGCAAAUGUGGACAUUGACCCUAGUAGAUUACUACAUUCUUUUUGCUGAAGUAAAAAAGUCGUAACAAAAGGUACCUUUUACUAUAGGACAAUCUUGGAGUCGUAGUAAAUGCUAGGAUUUACUGUAGCAAAAAAAUAUUUGCUACGACCUGUUUACCGUAGCAAAGUUUUUGUCACUCGACUAUAUGCUACGGGGCAAAUUCAUAGCAAAUGCAUAACAAAAGCCUUUUUGCUACGAAUUUGAUACAUUUUGCUACGGUUAAUGGUCGUAGUAAAAAAUAUUUUUUCUACUAGUAUGGUUUGUGCGAUUUUGUUUUUCAAAAACAACAAAAAUGGUCACCGAACUAAAAAACACACAUUAAUAUAUGGAGAAAUGUCAAAUAUAUGGAGACAUGACAAUAGAAUGAUCUAAACCCUGGUUGAUUUCAAGUUAGAGACCUCUCUAACUGCUGGGGCAUUAGUACAUUUAUGUAAAUAGACUUACAAUAAAUUUAUAAAAACUAAAAAUACAAGGUAAAAUGAUUAAAAUAGUUAUAUAAAUAAUGUCAAAUGAAUUAUAUAAAUAAAUAAUAUAGUGUCAUAACAAAAAUUAUAUGUAUUUCACCGUGACUUCACUAGAGGACCAGCUGUAUCGUAACAUGUCCCUGAGUUCCACAGAGGACCGCCCCAAGGACCAGUGUUCGUGCACUCCGAAAUCUAGUGGAGGUUUGUGCAUUGUAUGCGGGGAUUCGAUCGCUAGAAUUGUCUUGGAUGUCUUGUGUAUUCUCAUAGUUUGUAAUCUUUAAGUCUCUGGCCAGAGCUGACUAAGUGAUGAUUAGAGAAUUCGAUUCUCUAAGUCACGCACGUACCGAUUACAAUACUUAGAACGAUCGCACAGUUAUUGAACUACAAAGGAGGUCUCGAUGAAGCAAUAUGCCUUUAGUUCAAUCGGAACAUAUGAAUAGAAGGGAUCGUACUGUACGUUAACUAUAUCAAACGGUUCUUGCAGACACUUCAUUUGUAUCUAGGUAAUCAUGACGCGUAGUUGCUAGACGGCAAUCUUGAUUCGUUGGGUGAUUAAUUUGAAACGAGCUUCUUCUUAAUUGUAACUCUAGGGACGAGUUUAAACCACAAAGAGUUGUGGACCUACGGCUAGCUUACACGUGAACCAUCGAGGGUCACACUGCUCGUGCACUCGAGUUCUUUGAAUAAACGGUCAAAGAUAAAAAUGUUUAAUCUUUGCAUAAUUGGAGGUCAAUAUGAUUGAGUCCAACAUUCGUAAAUUGGAAUUAUGAAUGAGAAUAGGAAAAGGAAAAGACUAGGCGAACAUCUUAGUGAACUUUCUAAAUUGGGCAGUUUCCAAAUUUAGAAAGUCCACUGAAUUAGGGUUUCCACUUUUAGAAAUUGGAAAUCGAGAAUUGGCAUUCGUAAUGACGAGGACGUUUCAAUGAUUCCGAAAAUAUAAUUGUUAUAAUUUUCCAAUCACUGAGUUGCGAGAAACGAGUAGAAAGACUAACGAACUUAAGCUAUUGGGCCCGGUCCAACUUAAGCCCGUUAGGGCUUUUAUACAAGACACUAUAAAUACAAGAUUUAUAGGUUUGCACACACACAACACAUACCACGAAACCCUAGCCGCUCACCUCACACACGGCCGCUGCCUCUCAUCUGCCGUCACCGCCCCGUCGCCGGAAAUCGGUGCCCCACGCGCCGAUUUACAUUGGUAGAUCUAUUCCUUUUUGAUUUAUUCUUCCGUUAAUUCUAACUUUUGCGUGUCUAGUGCCACGUAUUUAGUAGAACUUGGUAUACGAGGUGAAUCUGAGAGGAGGAAGACAAAGGAGUCAAUCUGCCGACACGCCGCCGCCGAACCACCGACGCACGCGCCCUCACGCGUUGCCCGAAGACAGCGCGUGAAUCUCACGCGCCGCCGCUGAUCCGCGCGUCCGCCGCCGCUAUUUUGCCGCUGCUCCUCCUGACUUCACAGAUUGGUUUCCGUGGCAGUUUGCUUCAAUCCGAGAACUCGCCUCAAACUUCAAGAGGUAACUUUUCGAAUCCGUUAUGUAUUAGAUUUUUUAUUUAAUUAGAUUAAAUUAAACAUUGAUAUUCGCAGUAUGAUUUUACUUGAAUGUUUUCAUGAAAUUAUGUAUGUAUGAUUUUGCUUGAACGAUUUUCGUGAAAUCGUCAGUAUAUGAAUUACGAUUUACUGCGAGCAUGCUAUGUGAUUUAAUUAUCGAAUGAAUAUGGAUGUUGUUAUUUAAAUUUCGCUGGAAGCGUUAAGGUAUGUAAUUAAUUGUUAUUAUCGAGUAUGUGUUUAUAUGAAUGAAAUUAUUUUUCAUAUAUUUUUUUUGUUUUUCUCUGCGUACACGUGACCGAUUCUCAACACCCACAACUUCAAAAGAUGCUUCUUUAACAAUAAAACUAACAUAAUAAAAACAAAUUCAUUCACGUAGACGAUUUCUGCAACUUGAUAUUCUUAUAUAUAUUCUCUUUUCUUUUUUUAUAUAAGAUAUACUUAUAUAUACUCGUUAUAUAUACACCCUAUAGUCAUAUAGCUCAAGAUAAGGUUUAAUUUUACUGUACACUCCCAAAAUAUAUAGUACAUAUUUUUAUAUUUUGCACCCAAAAAACAAAAGAAAAAAAAACGUAUGCAUUCUUUUUUUUUGAUAAGUAAAACGUAUGCAUUCUGCACCUUUGAAAUGUGAUAAACCUCUUCCACAUAGCAUCAAUCAUCUAUAACAAUUUAUUCUUGACUUUUUUUCGA
This 24286-nucleotide long non-coding RNA is filed under the name Erythranthe guttata (spotted monkey flower). Its description in RNAcentral is "long non-coding RNA (EGUT_LNC001027)". The record is from RNAcentral. Lineage: Eukaryota; Viridiplantae; Streptophyta; Magnoliopsida; Lamiales; Phrymaceae.